UAAAUGGUUUCGUUGAGAUGAUUACUACUUCUCAUACUUGAAUUUCAUACGUUUUGUAUUGCUUUGUGAUACAUUCCAUUAUCACAAAUUCACAAUUACCAGGACAAAUUCACUUUUAUUAUUGAAGGGGACUCUUUUUACAAAUUUUUCAGCUUAUUUUACGAAAUGGGAGAAUAUGAGUUGAGAGCUGACAAGGAAAAAUUGCGAGUAAGUUAAUGAUGAGAGGAGAAAGAAGAAAUGGACUAUACUUUCUGUUAUAAGUAAAAAUUCCUCCAAAAGUAUAUGAAAUAUUUGCAUAAAGAGAAUUGAUUAAAUACUCUUCUGAAAAACUUUGUCCUAACUUAAUUUUGUAUUUUUGUUCGCCAAAGUUUUGAAAAUAAUAAUUUUAAGGAUGUUUCAGGUUCAUAAUGAUGAUGAGGUAAGGGCAUUGUUCAUGCUGCUCUCCAACUUAAGCAAUUGAUAGUGAAAGAGACAUAAGAGGUUUAAGUGGGAGACAUACAAGGCACUAUACCCAUUACACUUGGGCUCUCGGGACAAUAUUCUUUCUUCAGAUUUCAUAUUGUGGUAUGUCGGUUAAAGUGGAUUACCUACUAGAAGAGAAUGUAAGAUUCCAGAGGCUGCAACAACAGACAUGCAUCUACAUUUAUAUGUGUAUGUAAACAUACAUGCAUAUAUUAUAUUGUUACUCAUUUAGAUCAAGUUUUUGUUCUUCACAUUUUAAUUACAAAUGAUUUUGUUUGUUUAUGUUUGUUUUAAUAGUCAUGCUACUAUCUCUUUUGCGAAUCACUUUUUAGAAAAUAUUUUACUAAAGUGAUGUUGCAAUUGUGUCUAUCAUUGUUGCAGCCUUGUGAACCCGUGUGAACUAACAAAAGAAGAAGAGUAUCUUGUACCAAUCAUUUAUGGUACCAUUUUGAAUAUGUAUCUAGAUUCUUAGUCAGGGUGACAUUUAUUAUUGCUGCAAUGCAAUUGAUGAUUGAAAAAAAAAUAGAAAAAAAUAAGAUCAUAUUUUAAUUAAUCU
Long non-coding RNA from Arachis ipaensis, 1018 nucleotides. RefSeq lists it as uncharacterized. Lineage: Eukaryota; Viridiplantae; Streptophyta; Magnoliopsida; Fabales; Fabaceae. The record is from RefSeq and is a predicted model, not a curated record.